Molecule: ribosomal RNA, 1345 nt
Filed under: uncultured bacterium
Lineage: Bacteria
Description: partial 16S ribosomal RNA
Rfam family: Bacterial small subunit ribosomal RNA
Source: RNAcentral
GACGAACGCUGGCGGCGUGCUUAACACAUGCAAGUCGAACGGAAAGGCCCUGCUUUUGUGGGGUGCUCGAGUGGCGAACGAGUGAGUAACACGUGAGUAACCUGCCCUUGACUUUGGGAUAACUUCAGGAAACUGGGGCUAAUACCGGAUAGGAGCUCCUGCUGCAUGGUGGGGGUUGGAAAGUUUCGGCGGUUGGGGAUGGACUCGCGGCUUAUCAGCUUGUUGGUGGGGUAGUGGCUUACCAAGGCUUUGACGGGUAGCCGGCCUGAGAGGGUGACCGGCCACAUUGGGACUGAGAUACGGCCCAGACUCCUACGGGAGGCAGCAGUGGGGAAUAUUGCACAAUGGGCGGAAGCCUGAUGCAGCAACGCCGCGUGCGGGAUGACGGCCUUCGGGUUGUAAACCGCUUUCGCCUGUGACGAAGCGUGAGUGACGGUAAUGGGUAAAGAAGCACCGGCUAACUACGUGCCAGCAGCCGCGGUGAUACGUAGGGUGCGAGCGUUGUCCGGAUUUAUUGGGCGUAAAGGGCUCGUAGGUGGUUGAUCGCGUCGGAAGUGUAAUCUUGGGGCUUAACCCUGAGCGUGCUUUCGAUACGGGUUGACUUGAGGAAGGUAGGGGAGAAUGGAAUUCCUGGUGGAGCGGUGGAAUGCGCAGAUAUCAGGAGGAACACCAGUGGCGAAGGCGGUUCUCUGGGCCUUUCCUGACGCUGAGGAGCGAAAGCGUGGGGAGCGAACAGGCUUAGAUACCCUGGUAGUCCACGCUGUAAACGGUGGGUACUAGGUGUGGGGUCCAUUCCACGGGUUCCGUGCCGUAGCUAACGCUUUAAGUACCCCGCCUGGGGAGUACGGCCGCAAGGCUAAAACUCAAAGGAAUUGACGGGGCCCCGCACAAGCGGCGGAGCAUGCGGAUUAAUUCGAUGCAACGCGUAGAACCUUACCUGGGUUUGACAUGGAUCGGGAGUGCUCAGAGAUGGGUGUGCCUCUUUUGGGGUCGGUUCACAGGUGGUGCAUGGCUGUCGUCAGCUCGUGUCGUGAGAUGUUGGGUUAAGUCCCGCAACGAGCGCAACCCUUGUUCACUGUUGCCAGCACGUUAUGGUGGGGACUCAGUGGAGACCGCCGGGGUCAACUCGGAGGAAGGUGGGGAUGACGUCAAGUCAUCAUGCCCCUUAUGUCCAGGGCUUCACGCAUGCUACAAUGGCUGGUACAGAGAGUGGCGAGCCUGUGAGGGUGAGCGAAUCUCGGAAAGCCGGUCUCAGUUCGGAUUGGGGUCUGCAACCCGACCUCAUGAAGUCGGAGUCGCUAGUAAUCGCAGAUCAGCAACGCUGCGGUGAAUACGUUCCCGGGGC